ACAAAAGAAUGGGAGGCCAAAAAAUGGGGACAUCCUGGUACGUUUCUUGCCGAUGUGUUUUGUUUUAUUUUAUUUUCAUUUUAAU
RNAcentral lists this non-coding RNA (85 nucleotides) under Tryblionella compressa. Lineage: Eukaryota; Bacillariophyta; Bacillariophyceae; Bacillariales; Bacillariaceae. The record is from RNAcentral.